RNAcentral lists this ribosomal RNA (425 nucleotides) under uncultured bacterium. RNAcentral's name for it is "partial 16S ribosomal RNA". It matches the Rfam family "Bacterial small subunit ribosomal RNA", at positions 354 to 796 of the family's 1533-position model. The record is from RNAcentral.
GUGGGGAAUCUUCCGCAAUGGACGAAAGUCUGACGGAGCAACGCCGCGUGAGUGAAGAAGUAUUUCGGUACGUAAAGCUCUAUCAGCAAGGAAGAAAAUGACGGUACUUGACUAAGAAGCCCCGGCUAACUACGUGCCAGCAGCCGCGGUAAUACGUAGGGGGCAAGCGUUAUCCGGAAUGAUUGGGCGUAAAGGGCGCGUAGGCGGCCUGGUAAGUCUGGAGUGAAAGUCCUGCUUUUAAGGUGGGAAUUGCUUUGGAUACUGUCGGGCUUGAGUGCAGGAGAGGUAAGUGGAAUUCCCGGUGUAGCGGUGAAAUGCGUAGAGAUCGGGAGGAACACCAGUGGCGAAGGCGACUUACUGGACUGUAACUGACGCUGAGGCGCGAAAGUGUGGGGAGCAAACAGGAUUAGAAACCCCAGUAGUCC